AUGGGGAAGAUUGGAGCAUCGCUCUCCUCUGCUGCUGCCAAGGCGCUACUGCUAGUGCUAGCCUUCAUCAACCUCGCGAUCCAGAGGCUGCUGCUGCUCAGGCGCCCCAAGAGCAAGAUAGCGAGCGGUGCCGGUGGUCACAGCUCUAGCAUUACUAAUGGUACGUCGGCGGCGGCUCUCCCGCCGGGGCCGGUGCCUUGGCCGGUGGUGGGGAACCUCCCUGAGAUGAUGUUCAACAAGCCGGCGUUCCGGUGGAUCCACCAGAUGAUGGAGAAGAUGGGCACCGACAUCGCCUGCGUCCGCCUGGGCGGUGUCCACGUCGUCGCCGUCACCUGCCCCAGCAUCGCCCGCGAGGUGCUCAGGAAGCAGGACGCCAACUUCGCCUCCCGCCCGCUCACCUUCGCCUCCUCCACCUUCAGCGGCGGGUACAAGAACGCCGUGCUCACGCCGUUCGGCGACCAGUGGAAGAAGAUGCGCCGCGUGCUCACCUCGGAGAUCGUCUGCCCGUCCCGGCACCGGUGGCUCCACGACCGCCGCGCUCACGAGGCCGACAACCUCACCCGCUACGUCUACGCCCUCUCCACGGGGUCUGCGUCCGCGUCGGGCGUGGACGUGAGGCACGUGGCGAGGCACUACUGCGGCAACGUCAUCCGCUCGCUCGUCUUCGGCCGGCGUUACUUCGGCGAGCCUCAGCCGGACGGAGGGCCGGGCCCAAUGGAGGUGGAGCACAUGGACGCCGUGUUCACGUCCAUGGGUCUCCUCUUUGCGUUCUGCAUCUCCGACUACCUCCCUUGGCUGCGCGGCCUGGACCUCGACGGCCAGGAGAAGUUGGUCAAGGAGGCAAACGCGACGGUGAACCGGCUCCACGACACGGUCAUCGACGAGCGGUGGAGGCAGUGGAAGUCCGGUGAGAGGAGGGAGCUCGACGACUUCCUCGACGUGCUCAUCACGCUGGAGGACGCCGAGGGGAAGCCGCUGCUCGCCAUCGAGGAAGUCAAAGCGCAAUCGCAGGACAUAACAUUUGCGGCGGUUGACAACCCGUCAAACGUGGUGGAGUGGGCGUUGGCGGAGAUGACGAAUGCGCCAGAGGUGAUGUUGAAGGCGAUGGAGGAGAUGGACCAGGUGGUGGGCCGAGAGCGGCUCAUGCAGGAAUCGGACAUUCCGUAUCUCAACUAUGCCAAGGCAUGCAUUCGUGAGGCAUUUCGGCUGCACCCGGUCGCCCCUUUCAAUGUACCACAUGUUGCCCUAGCCGACAUCACAGUCGCCGGUUACCGCGUGCCCAAGGGCAGCCACAUCAUCGUCAGCCGAACUGGGCUUGGCCGAAACCCGGCCAUCUGGGACGAGGCGCUCUGCUUCAAUCCAGAGCGCCACAUGAAUUUGGCUGAUGGCGGCGACGUGGUGCUCACGGAAAACGAGUUGCGGUUCAUCUCCUUCAGCACCGGCCGCCGCGGAUGCAUCGCAUCGUCGCUUGGGACAGCCAUGUGUGUGAUGCUCUUUGGACGGCUACUACAGGGGUUCACUUGGAGCAAGCCGCCGGGGUUAUCGGCCAUUGAUCUCAGCGAGUCAAAGCAUGACUUAUUCAUGGCCAAGCCGUUGGUGCUGUAUGCCGAGCCACGCCUGCCGAUGCAUCUCUACUCCACCACCAACAUCUAA
RNAcentral lists this ribosomal RNA (1653 nucleotides) under Triticum aestivum (bread wheat). RNAcentral's name for it is "partial small subunit ribosomal RNA". Lineage: Eukaryota; Viridiplantae; Streptophyta; Magnoliopsida; Poales; Poaceae. The record is from RNAcentral.